This 492-nucleotide ribosomal RNA is filed under the name uncultured bacterium. Its description in RNAcentral is "partial 16S ribosomal RNA". It matches the Rfam family "Bacterial small subunit ribosomal RNA", at positions 29 to 507 of the family's 1533-position model. The record is from RNAcentral.
AGUGAACGCUGGCGGUAGGCCUAACACAUGCAAGUCGAACGGCAGCACAGUAAGAGCUUGCUCUUACGGGUGGCGAGUGGCGGACGGGUGAGGAAUACAUCGGAAUCUACUUUUUCGUGGGGGAUAACGUAGGGAAACUUACGCUAAUACCGCAUACGACCUACGGGUGAAAGCAGGGGAUCUUCGGACCUUGCGCGAUUGAAUGAGCCGAUGUCGGAUUAGCUAAUUGGCGGGGUAAAGGCCCACCAAGGCGACGAUCCGUAGCUGGUCUGAGAGGAUGAUCAGCCACACUGGAACUGAGACACGGUCCAGACUCCUACGGGAGGCAGCAGUGGGGAAUAUUGGACAAUGGGCGCAAGCCUGAUCCAGCCAUACCGCGUGGGUGAAGAAGGCCUUCGGGUUGUAAAGCCCUUUUGUUGGGAAAGAAACGCAGCAGGUUAAUACCCCGCUGUUCUGACGGUACCCAAAGAAUAAGCACCGGCUAACUUCGUG